This 546-nucleotide long non-coding RNA is filed under the name Phoenix dactylifera (date palm). RNAcentral describes it as "long non-coding RNA (PDAC_LNC022041)". The record is from RNAcentral. Lineage: Eukaryota; Viridiplantae; Streptophyta; Magnoliopsida; Arecales; Arecaceae.
AUAUAGUUGCUAAACUAUCAAACACCUUUGAAACAGAUGAAGCAUUAACUAUAAGAUACAACAUCCAUCAUUACUUGUCUUCUUGUUUUUCUUCAUAUAUGAGUUUGUUGCUGAUUCUAGAGGACAAAAUUUAAUUAUGUAAAUUUAAUUCAGUGUUAGCAUUUCUCUUCAGCCUUAUGCUCAUUCUAGCAAGUAGGUUGACAAAUGUGUGUUUCAUCUGCCAGUCUGUUUCUGGUCAAGAAAAACCAUUUCAAAUGUUGCAUGGUUACAUGUCAGAAAAUAUGGAUUCAAAUGGCACCACCUGUGUCUUCUCUACCAUAUUUGUUUGCUACCGUAAUUUUGAUUUCUUUGUAAAAACCUUCCAUCGUGGCACUAAAUCUAUGAUUAUUUUGUUUGGUUGAAAUAUCUCUGAAGAUUGCAAAAGUUGAAGAAGAUUUCCCUGCUCACCACCUUAGCUUGAUUGGACCUUUCCAUAUGAAAUUCCCGUCCUUGAAUUUUUCUUAUUUCACUAGAUAAAAUUCUUGUGGAUGCAAUAGCCAUCAAAUG